Molecule: long non-coding RNA, 1305 nt
Filed under: Brachypodium distachyon (stiff brome)
Lineage: Eukaryota; Viridiplantae; Streptophyta; Magnoliopsida; Poales; Poaceae
Description: long non-coding RNA (BDIS_LNC000735)
Source: RNAcentral
GAACCAAUCCGAGCCUUGCAAUUUUCACAUUAGUUUUGCAUUGUUGAAUCUUUGCUGCAUUAAUCGUGUCGAGUUGCAGGAUUAGAUUGGAUCGUUUUUCAGAUUUUUUCUACUAGAUCGAAUUUGUUUUUGUCUUUUGAUUUCGUGUGACGCAGGCUUUCCAUCAAUCUUCUGCCGCCAAACUUCCUGCCACACCGCCGCCAUAAUCUUCCGCCGCCACCAUAUCUUCCACCGAGUCCCUCUUCGAGUCCUACACCGAGUCCCUCUUCGAGUCCUACACCGAGUCCCUCUUCGAGUCCUACAUCGAGUCGGCAAGUUAUAGUUUUCAGCCGCGAGUUCGAGUCCGAGUCCAAUCAAUAGUGCUUUUGGAAAGUGUUUCAUAAUAGAUCAAAUUUUGUUUAGAGAUCAAGUUGUUCGGAAAGUUGUGAAAAAAAAAGAAAGGAAGGAAAGAAAGAAAGAAAGAAAAAACGAAAAAAAAGAGAGAAAGAGUUCGAGUCAGUUUCGGACCCGAGUCCAAGUAGAAUUAGAGUUUCGGGUGGGUUUGACCCGUGUUCACUAAAACAGACGUAUCUUUUGCAUACGAAGUCGGAUUUGGACGUUCCAGGACUUUUCGGAAAGCUCUCGACGAGGCGCAUCCUCUAAAAUAAACGGCUCCUUGACCCUCAAAUUCGGCCUCUAAGGUGGACUUUUCGAGCUCCGAAGUUUCUGCACCCGUUUUUCGGCACCGGGGCAGCGCAGUAUAUCUCAGUUUUCUCCAUCGUCCGACCUCCGUUUCAAGUGAUCUUGCACUUGUUGGAAAGCUUCUUUUGAUACGCUUCUAACCCAUAUCUUCUCAUAUUUUUCUGAGUUUUCCUUACUACAGCCUUUGCUAUUCUCCUACAGACCGACGUGCAGCUUUCCGGUCUUAACUUCUUUUGCGUGAGUUUCUAGGGAUAAAAAAAAAUAGAAAAGAAUAAGAAGCCAAACAGAAUGCCACAAAAAGAAAAUAAAAGUGAAAAGAAAUAUUCCCCAGAGAUUUACUUGUUUUACCUUUCCUUUGAUCUUUUCUUUCUACCUUUUUCAGUAUCUAGGUUUAGUUAAUUUCUGUAAUUCGUUCUUAUCGACUCCAGCAGCUAGGACUAGCAUUUUUGAGCAUAUUUUCAACUUUGCAUUGCUGAUUUGAUUAUUCGCUUUUCCUUGAUACUCACAUAAGCCUCAAAGCUCCACAGAUUCUACACCUAGGUUGGUUUGCCUUGAGGCAUCGAUACAUUAAUCUUCGGAGGGCUUGUUCUCGCCGCUGGCCAUCACCUUCCUGUUUGCUGGGUA